Molecule: unclassified non-coding RNA, 344 nt
Filed under: soil metagenome
Description: partial contains 5.8S ribosomal RNA, internal transcribed spacer 2, and large subunit ribosomal RNA
Rfam family: 5.8S ribosomal RNA (bases 1-120)
Source: RNAcentral
GAUGAAGAACGUAGCGAAAUGCGAUAAGUAAUGUGAAUUGCAGAAUUCAGUGAAUCAUCGAAUCUUUGAACGCACAUUGCGCCCGCCAGUAUUCUGGCGGGCAUGCCUGUUCGAGCGUCAUUUCAACCCUCAAGCCCCCGGGCUUGGUGUUGGGGAUCGGCGUGCCCUCGCGGCGCGCCGUCCCCUAAAUCUAGUGGCGGUCUCGCUGUAGCUUCCUCUGCGUAGUAGCAACACUCGCACUGGAUCGCAGCGCGGCCACGCCGUUAAACCCCCCACUUCUGAAAGUUUGACCUCGGAUCAGGUAGGAAUACGCGCUGAACUUAAGCAUAUCAAUAAGCGGAGGA